Harpia harpyja (harpy eagle) is the source of this 221-nucleotide long non-coding RNA. RefSeq lists it as uncharacterized. The record is from RefSeq and is a predicted model, not a curated record. NCBI's taxonomy places the organism in Eukaryota, Metazoa, Chordata, Aves, Accipitriformes, Accipitridae. The transcript has 2 exons.
CGCCAGUGCCGGGGGGGGUUCAAGCACAGGGAAAAUGAAACUCGUGCCCUUACAAGACACCGUGUGCCCUAUUUCCAGGUCUCACCCGUGGUCUAAAUCCGGCGGUCAGGAACGUGCUCUUCCUACCCUGGGUACCCCGUGGCAAUGCGAAGCCACCUGCUGUCACCCUGGACAGGAGCGGGAGCUCCCAAAAGAAUUCCAGGAGCUUUCUGGGGUGCAAU